This 320-nucleotide ribosomal RNA is filed under the name uncultured eukaryote. RNAcentral's name for it is "partial 18S ribosomal RNA". It matches the Rfam family "Eukaryotic small subunit ribosomal RNA", at positions 1470 to 1796 of the family's 1831-position model. The record is from RNAcentral.
CCCUUAGAUGUCCGGGGCCGCACGCGCGCUACACUGAAGGAAUCAGCGUGGCUUUCUCCCUGACCCGAAAGGGUUGGGAAACCCGUUGAAUAUCCUUCGUGAUAGGGAUUGGGGCUUGAAAUUGUUCCCCAUGAACGAGGAAUUCCCAGUAAGCGCGAGUCAUAAGCUCGCGUUGAUUACGUCCCUGCCCUUUGUACACACCGCCCGUCGCUCCUACCGAUGAGCGUUUUGGCGAAGACGGUUUGAGUAGCUGCGUAAUUUCGUGUUGUUGACUCCGGCAGUUUGAGCCUUCACGUUUAGAGGAAGGAGAAGUCGUAACA